CUAAGAUUCGAAUUAAUUGAGGUUAUGAACUGGAUUAACGACUAUUACGGUGACAUACCCAAUUUAAUUAUUUACUCUUUUAGAUUGUUGGAGAAGGGAUAUAGUUGUGCAUAUUGAACUCGAAGUCCCAUUUAAAAUUAAAAUUCAACUACACGAGUGAUAAUCCUGAUUGUUACUGUGACAUCUUAAUUUAAUUAUUUUCUCUCUUAAAUUGUUAGAGAAGGAAUAUUGUCGUGCCAAUUAAACUCGAAGCCCCAUUUGAAAUUGAAAUUCAACAUGAGUGUUAAAUCUAAUAUGUUUUUACUCUGAUUCAUGAAUACAUUAUUUUACCUAGAAGAAUUGAACAUUCGAUGAAACCUUUUAAACUGUUACUAUAUCUUGAGAUAUUCUGGCAAACUGAAACAUGUUAAUACCCAGAGAAAACCGACAAAAGUGGUUCGCAUAAGGGCUGCGAAAUGACUAUGCACAUUUCUAUGGAACUUGUUAGAUGCAAAAAAAAAAAAAAAUCCUCAUGAGGUAUUACACUUUGCUCACUGCUUUUCUGUACGGGUAUUAGCGGCACUUGAGAUAUGGAACAAGAUGAAGAAAUAACAUAUAAGGUAGUCCACCUUUGAGUAUUUCUUGACCAACAGGACUUUGCUAUUUGUAUUUAUUUAUGAUAUUUCUUGACCAACCAGGACUUUCCUAUUUGUAUUUAUUUAUGAUGAUGAACAUUCUUAUUUUCAAUGUACUGCAACUACUUGUGUUGGAGACUAACUUGUUUCUUGGUGGCUUUUAACUUCUACGACCGAUAUAGAGGCAUGAGGUUGUAUACACACAUAUGUUGCUCGGACUCUUCAAAAAUGCCAACAGGUGUGCGUCGCAUUUUUCAAAAAUAGUGUAUUGUUAAAGAAUUCGAUACAGGUGUGCCAUCGAAAGUAAAGAGUCCUCGCAACUUCAAGAUAGAAUGUCCAGUGAUAUCUGUAUUUUCUCUUCAGUAUAUUAUUCAGCAAUACUCAUUUUCAUCAAAAUAUCGAGUUUUCCGAAUGAGACCAAAAGGAAUUAUUCCUCUCAAAAAGUUUUCCCAUUAGACUCCACACACUUCUCUUACAAUUGAAAAAAAGCCUCAAAAGAAAAAGUUGGAAAUUUUGCCACUAGAAUUGCUAAUUUAAUUCAUAACUUCGUACAGAAACAAACAAUUGAAAACAAGACUUAA
This is a long non-coding RNA of Lycium ferocissimum, 1195 nucleotides long. RefSeq lists it as uncharacterized. The transcript has 2 exons. Lineage: Eukaryota; Viridiplantae; Streptophyta; Magnoliopsida; Solanales; Solanaceae. The record is from RefSeq and is a predicted model, not a curated record.